UUCCUCUAAUUAUCUUACUCCUGUUUGUUUUCUUUGUUGACUGCAGAUCUAUAAUUUCCAAGUGCCUGUGGCUCAACCACAAGCAUCCCAAGCACAUAUUAAAAAGUCUACAGAUAAUAUCUCCGACACUAACAAUGUAUUUUAAUGUCAUUUAUUAAGAGGUGGGCCAGAACCCAGGCUUCUACCUGUUGAUUUACUGCGCUUUCUUCUAGAGCAGCCUGCUGAGAAUUCCACCAGCUUAUUUAACAGAGUCCAUGGAAUACGUGAAAAGACCAAAUCCAGUUCUGGGAGCAAAUACAGCAAUGUCUGGAAGCACUGACGCAAUCACCAUCUUGGGAAUUAGAAACAAAUGGCAGCGUUCUUUUCUAUUUACUUAUGUUCUUGUAUAUUCCAUCAUUUCCAGGAAGGCUUAUAAUCCAAGGAUUCCCAUAUGGCUUUAUUUUUGUUAGUUAUGUUGUAAUGCCAUGCCAGAGUUUUAAAUUUAAAUUUUGGAGCCAGCCACCAAAUUUGAAAAAAAAAACUAUUUUAAAAACACCAUUUGGGCUUCUCCAACACUGCAGAGGCAGCUUGACAGCAGUUAGUCUUCCUCACCUUUCCUUUCUUCCUGCGUUCUCCUCAGAGAGCUGCAUUGGACUGACGCUUCUGACUCACUUUCCUGGAACUGUUCGAAAGGCAUCACAUAAAAGCUUCAAGAUAUCAGUCGCCAAAAGGGAAGAAGAUUUUGAGAAUGGAUCAGAAUUGGAGUAGCCAGAAAAGAAAACUGAUUCAGGAGUCUUAACUGAAGGGAAGAGAGUGGUUGGAAUUACAAGCCUUAGGAUAGCAGGUAAAUAGUGAAUAAGUAAAUCUUGGAGGUUGUUGAAUUGAGAAAGAAAGGCUGGAGAUGAAAACAUGGGAAGAUUUCAAAAGGAAGUUUGAGUAGGAUAGGGGAUAUCAAUAAGUGGAACAAUGGAAAGGUGUAGUAACAUUGUGGAAUGUUAGAAUUUUAGAUCUUUGUAAAUUGUUAAGAUUAUGGUAAAAAAGAGUAUGAGUCCAAAACUCGUAAACAUGUCUUAGCGUUUCCCAUCAAUCUUUACAUCAAUAAGGUCUAAUUUGAUUAAAACCCUAUCUCUGUAGGAAC
RNAcentral lists this long non-coding RNA (1117 nucleotides) under Macaca mulatta (Rhesus monkey). RNAcentral describes it as "lncRNA (ENSMMUG00000062187.1)". Lineage: Eukaryota; Metazoa; Chordata; Mammalia; Primates; Cercopithecidae. The record is from RNAcentral.